This 429-nucleotide ribosomal RNA is filed under the name bacterium. RNAcentral describes it as "partial 16S ribosomal RNA". It matches the Rfam family "Bacterial small subunit ribosomal RNA", at positions 355 to 776 of the family's 1533-position model. The record is from RNAcentral.
UAGGGAAUCUUCGGCAAUGGGGGCAACCCUGACCGAGCAACGCCGCGUGAGUGAAGAAGGUUUUCGGAUCGUAAAGCUCUGUUGUAAGAGAAGAACGUGUGUGAGAGUGGAAAGUUCACACAGUGACGGUAACUUACCAGAAAGGGACGGCUAACUACGUGCCAGCAGCCGCGGUAAUACGUAGGUCCCGAGCGUUGUCCGGAUUUAUUGGGCGUAAAGCGAGCGCAGGCGGUUUAAUAAGUCUGAAGUUAAAGGCAGUGGCUUAACCAUUGUUCGCUUUGGAAACUGUUAAACUUGAGUGCAGAAGGGGAGAGUGGAAUUCCAUGUGUAGCGGUGAAAUGCAUAGAUAUAUGGAGGAACACCGGUGGCGAAAGCGGCUCUCUGGUCUGUAACUGACGCUGAGGCUCGAAAGCGUGGGGAGCAAACAGG